GAUGAACGCUGGCGGCGUGCCUAAUACAUGCAAGUCGAGCGAACGGACGAGAAGCUUGCUUUUCUGAUGUUAGCGGCGGACGGGUGAGUAACACGUGGAUAACCUACCUAUAAGACUGGGAUAACUUCGGGAAACCGGAGCUAAUACCGGAUAAUAUUUUGAACCGCAUGGUUCAAAAGUGAAAGACGGUCUUGCUGUCACUUAUAGAUGGAUCCGCGCUGCAUUAGCUAGUUGGUAAGGUAACGGCUUACCAAGGCAACGAUGCAUAGCCGACCUGAGAGGGGGAUCGGCCACACUGGAACUGAGACACGGUCCAGACUCCGCCGGGAGGCAGCAGUAGGGAAUCUUCCGCAAUGGGCGAAAGCCUGACGGAGCAACGCCGCGUGAGUGAUGAAGGUCUUCGGAUCGUAAAACUCUGUUAUUAGGGAAGAACAGAUGUGUAAGUAACUGUGCACGUCUUGACGGUACCUAAUCAGAAAGCCACGGCUAACUACGUG
Molecule: ribosomal RNA, 497 nt
Filed under: uncultured bacterium
Lineage: Bacteria
Description: partial 16S ribosomal RNA
Rfam family: Bacterial small subunit ribosomal RNA
Source: RNAcentral